Molecule: transfer RNA, 73 nt
Filed under: Felis catus (domestic cat)
Lineage: Eukaryota; Metazoa; Chordata; Mammalia; Carnivora; Felidae
Also listed under: 5 other names
Rfam family: tRNA
About the family: Transfer RNA (tRNA) molecules are approximately 80 nucleotides in length. Their secondary structure includes four short double-helical elements and three loops (D, anti-codon, and T loops).
Source: Rfam by way of RNAcentral
ACCUGGCUGGCUCAGUCAGUAGAGCAUGCGACUCUUGAUCUUGGGGUCAUGAGUUCAAACCCCAUGUUGGGUC